RNAcentral lists this ribosomal RNA (253 nucleotides) under uncultured bacterium. RNAcentral describes it as "partial 16S ribosomal RNA". It matches the Rfam family "Bacterial small subunit ribosomal RNA", at positions 524 to 776 of the family's 1533-position model. The record is from RNAcentral.
UACGUAGGGGGCUAGCGUUGUCCGGAUUUAUUGGGCGUAAAGAGCUCGUAGGCGGCUCAUUGCGUCAACCGUGAAAUCCUGCUGCUCAACGGCAGGACUGCGGUUGAUACGGGUGGGCUGGAGUUCGGUAGGGGAGACUGGAAUUCCUGGUGUAGCGGUGAAAUGCGCAGAUAUCAGGAGGAACACCGGUGGCGAAGGCGGGUCUCUGGGCCGAUACUGACGCUGAGGAGCGAAAGCGUGGGGAGCGAACAGG